GAUGAACGCUGGCGGCGUGCCUAAUACAUGCAAGUCGAGCGAACAGACGAGGAUCUUGCUCCUCUUACGUUAGCGGCGGACGGGUGAGUAACACGUGGAUAACCUACCUAUAAGACUGGGAUAACUUCGGGAAACCGGAGCUAAUACCGGAUAAUAUAUUGAACCGCAUGGUUCAAUAGUGAAAGACGGUUUUGCUGUCACUUAUAGAUGUAUCCGCGCCGCAUUAGCUAGUUGGUAAGGUAACGGCUUACCAAGGCGACGAUGCGUAGCCGACCUGAGAGGGUGAUCGGCCACACUGGAACUGAGACACGGUCCAGACUCCUACGGGAGGCAGCAGUAGGGAAUCUUCCGCAAUGGGCGAAAGCCUGACGGAGCAACGCCGCGUGAGUGAUGAAGGUCUUCGGAUCGUAAAACUCUGUUAUUAGGGAAGAACAAAUGUGUAAGUAACUAUGCACGUCUUGACGGUACCUAAUCAGAAAGCCACGGCUAACUACGUG
Molecule: ribosomal RNA, 497 nt
Filed under: uncultured bacterium
Lineage: Bacteria
Description: partial 16S ribosomal RNA
Rfam family: Bacterial small subunit ribosomal RNA
Source: RNAcentral